Molecule: long non-coding RNA, 1093 nt
Organism: Folsomia candida
Lineage: Eukaryota; Metazoa; Arthropoda; Collembola; Entomobryomorpha; Isotomidae
Exons: 3
Source: RefSeq, a predicted model, not a curated record
CCCUGCCCUUUGCACACGUACUUUUGCAAGCCCUUGUAUUCUAUUGUGCACAUCAAACUAGAAAUUUAAAAGGAAAACGUUGUUUAAAAAGAAUCUUCGCAAGAUGCCCGACGAUGGAGCUUUCCUUGUUAUAGCAUCUUUUGUGUGGUUUUUGGUUUGCUACUUUCUGAAUGUCGCUAUUCAACAAAUAAACCAACUAAGUCCAAAAACUCAGCAGGAACAUGAGGUCCCCAAAAGCCCAGGUCAUGCAAAAAUCGAGGAAGAAGAAAUCAACCUUGCCAUGUCUGAAGGGGGAAAGAGAAUACCGUUACUGGACAUUUACUUAUCCGAGAACUUGGUCGUGACGAGUAUCACACGAGGCGGUGUGGUGGACCGGGACGGCAGGGUAAAAGUGGGGGACCAUCUUGUCCAACUGACCAACCAGGAAGGGAGGGAUGUCAAUCUGAUCGGAAUGUAGAAGAGCGAAAUUUGCCCGUUAAGAAGGCACUUUGGCGACCAUGCUAAAUUUAGGGUGAAACGGUUAGUGUUCGUAGAGGAAGAUGAGGCAUCUCCAGAGGAAGGGGAAUCUUCGCAAUGUGAACGUGUGCUGGCCUCUUUAGUUACGAAAGUGGACAAAAUUAGGGACGAGAUGCGGGUGAUUUUGGCAAAACUUGAUACCAAAACGGUUGAAGGUGUGACGAUGGUGGGAGAAAGUGUGACGAUGGCGGAAGAAGGUCAUCUUCCUAUGGGAGAAGUGGGGGAAGGUGAGAUUACACGUGUGAAAGACGGCGAUGAUAAUGAAACAGCACACGUGGUAGGAUCUGACCUCGCAUGGUUAGAUGGUGGCUGGGUUUUACUGUCAUAAAAUUAUUACUGCUUGAUUUCUUACACUUUUUCGGGAUUUCGUGAACUGCACUGUUAAACAACUUUAUAAAAAUGCUAAGGGUAAGAAAUAGAAGAAAUAGAAGACACUAUUUAAAUGGCUAUCACUUCGUAAUACAGUUAAUUGUGCGGAUUUUCGGCUGUAUUUCGUUCAUUCCUUUAACGCAAAAAAAUUUUGAUUUUUUAAAAACCAAAUUUUAAUGUUACUACAUUCAAUUCAUAGAUAUGUGUG